RNAcentral lists this transfer RNA (91 nucleotides) under Lysobacterales bacterium. Its description in RNAcentral is "tRNA-Ser". It matches the Rfam family "tRNA". Rfam says of the family: Transfer RNA (tRNA) molecules are approximately 80 nucleotides in length. Their secondary structure includes four short double-helical elements and three loops (D, anti-codon, and T loops). Lineage: Bacteria; Pseudomonadati; Pseudomonadota; Gammaproteobacteria; Lysobacterales. The record is from RNAcentral.
GGAGAGGUGGUCGAGUGGUUGAAGGCACCCGCCUCGAAAGCGGGCGUACGUUAAUAGCGUACCGUGAGUUCGAAUCUCACCCUCUCCGCCA